Molecule: ribosomal RNA, 253 nt
Filed under: uncultured bacterium
Lineage: Bacteria
Description: partial 16S ribosomal RNA
Rfam family: Bacterial small subunit ribosomal RNA
Source: RNAcentral
UACGUAGGGGGCUAGCGUUGUCCGGAAUCAUUGGGCGUAAAGCGCGUGUAGGCGGUCCGGUAAGUCCGCUGUGAAAGUCGGGGGCUCAACCCUCGAAUGCCGGUGGAUACUGUCGGGCUAGAGUGCGGAAGAGGCGAGUGGAAUUCCUGGUGUAGCGGUGAAAUGCGCAGAUAUCAGGAGGAACACCGAUGGCGAAGGCAGGUCUCUGGGCCAUAACUGACGCUGAGAAGCGAAAGCAUGGGGAGCGAACAGG